GUGGGGAAUAUUGGACAAUGGGCGAAAGCCUGAUCCAGCCAUGCCGCGUGUGUGAAGAAGGUCUUCGGAUUGUAAAGCACUUUAAGUUGGGAGGAAGGGCAGUAAGUUAAUACCUUGCUGUUUUGACGUUACCGACAGAAUAAGCACCGGCUAACUUCGUGCCAGCAGCCGCGGUAAUACGAAGGGUGCAAGCGUUAAUCGGAAUUACUGGGCGUAAAGCGCGCGUAGGUGGUUUUGUAAGUUGGAGGUGAAAUCCCCGGGCUCAACCUGGGAACUGCCUCCAAAACUGCAUGACUAGAGUACGGUAGAGAGUAGUGGAAUUUCCUGUGUAGCGGUGAAAUGCGUAGAUAUAGGAAGGAACACCAGUGGCGAAGGCGACUACCUGGACUGAUACUGACACUGAGGUGCGAAAGCGUGGGGAGCAAACAGGAUUAGAAACCCCAGUAGUCC
This 450-nucleotide ribosomal RNA is filed under the name uncultured bacterium. RNAcentral's name for it is "partial 16S ribosomal RNA". It matches the Rfam family "Bacterial small subunit ribosomal RNA", at positions 354 to 796 of the family's 1533-position model. The record is from RNAcentral.